Molecule: ribosomal RNA, 435 nt
Filed under: uncultured bacterium
Lineage: Bacteria
Description: partial 16S ribosomal RNA
Rfam family: Bacterial small subunit ribosomal RNA
Source: RNAcentral
GAUGAACGCUGGCGGUAUGCUUAACACAUGCAAGUCGAACGGACUCUUCGGAGUUAGUGGCGGACGGGUGAGUAACGCGUGAGAAUCUGGCUUUGGGUUCGGGACAACCACUGGAAACGGUGGCUAAUACCGGAUGUGCCGAGAGGUAAAAGAGAAAUUGCCUGAAGAUGAGCUCGCGUCUGAUUAGCUAGUUGGUGAGGUAAAGGCUCACCAAGGCAGCGAUCAGUAGCUGGUCUGAGAGGAUGACCAGCCACACUGGGACUGAGACACGGCCCAGACGCCUACGGGAGGAAGCAGUGGGGAAUUUUCCGCAAUGGGCGAAAGCCUGACGGAGCAAUACCGCGUGAGGGAAGAAGGCUCUUGGGUUGUAAACCUCUUUUCUUAGGGAAGAACAAAAUGACGGUACCUAGGGAAUCAGCAUCGGCUAACUCCGUG